UGGGGAAUAUUGCACAAUGGGGGAAACCCUGAUGCAGCCAUGCCGCGUGUGUGAAGAAGGCCUUCGGGUUGUAAAGCACUUUUGCAUUCGAGGAAGACAGCACGUAAAUAAACGUGUUAUUUGACGUUAGAGUGUGAAUAAGCACCGGCAAACUCCGUGCCAGCAGCCGCGGUAAUACGGAGGGUGCGAGCGUUAAUCGGAAUGACUGGGCGUAAAGGGCACGCAGGUGGCGAGAUAAGUUGGAUGUGAAAUUCCCGUGCUUAACAUGGGGACUGCAUCCAAAACUGUUGAACUGGAGUACUGUAGAGGGAGGUAGAAUUCCACGUGUAGCGGUGAAAUGCGUAGAGAUGUGGAAGAAUACCAGAGGCGAAGGCGGCCUCCUGGACAGAUACUGACACUGAGGUGCGAAAGCGUGGGUAGCAAACAGG
Molecule: ribosomal RNA, 428 nt
Filed under: uncultured prokaryote
Also listed under: 1 other name
Description: bacterial SSU rRNA
Rfam family: Bacterial small subunit ribosomal RNA
Source: RNAcentral